AUUCUUACCUGGCAGGGGGAAUACCACAAUCAGGAAGGAGGUUUUCCCCCACAGUGAGGCUCUUCCAUUGCACAUCAGUUGGGCUGACCCCUGUGAUUUCCUCUUUUAUCAAUAAAAAUUGAACCCAUUAACGAAUAGUUUUUUGUGGCUUCAUUAAUUUGGCUGCUGAAC
Protopterus annectens (West African lungfish) is the source of this 171-nucleotide small nuclear RNA. RefSeq annotates it as U1 spliceosomal RNA. The transcript has a single exon. The record is from RefSeq and is a predicted model, not a curated record. Lineage: Eukaryota; Metazoa; Chordata; Ceratodontiformes; Protopteridae.